This 23-nucleotide non-coding RNA is filed under the name Arabidopsis thaliana (thale cress). The record is from RNAcentral. Lineage: Eukaryota; Viridiplantae; Streptophyta; Magnoliopsida; Brassicales; Brassicaceae.
AGACAACGACUCUGAUUUCUUCC